Molecule: ribosomal RNA, 461 nt
Filed under: Penicillium citrinum
Lineage: Eukaryota; Fungi; Ascomycota; Eurotiomycetes; Eurotiales; Aspergillaceae
Description: eukaryotic LSU rRNA
Rfam family: 5.8S ribosomal RNA (bases 88-241)
Source: RNAcentral
GUUGCCUCGGCGGGCCCCGCGCCCGCCGACGGCCCCCCUGAACGCUGUCUGAAGUUGCAGUCUGAGACCUAUAACGAAAUUAGUUAAAACUUUCAACAACGGAUCUCUUGGUUCCGGCAUCGAUGAAGAACGCAGCGAAAUGCGAUAACUAAUGUGAAUUGCAGAAUUCAGUGAAUCAUCGAGUCUUUGAACGCACAUUGCGCCCUCUGGUAUUCCGGAGGGCAUGCCUGUCCGAGCGUCAUUGCUGCCCUCAAGCCCGGCUUGUGUGUUGGGCCCCGUCCCCCCCGCCGGGGGGACGGGCCCGAAAGGCAGCGGCGGCACCGCGUCCGGUCCUCGAGCGUAUGGGGCUUCGUCACCCGCUCUAGUAGGCCCGGCCGGCGCCAGCCGACCCCCAACCUUUAAUUAUCUCAGGUUGACCUCGGAUCAGGUAGGGAUACCCGCUGAACUUAAGCAUAUCAAUA